GGAUUAGAUACCCUGGUAGUCCACGCCGUAAACGAUGUCUACUAGUUGUUGGGAGACUUGAUCUCUUAGUAACGAAGCUAACGCGAUAAGUAGACCGCCUGGGGAGUACGGCCGCAAGGUUAAAACUCAAAUGAAUUGACGGGGGCCCGCACAAGCGGUGGAGCAUGUGGUUUAAUUCGAAGCAACGCGAAGAACCUUACCUACUCUUGACAUCCUGCGAACUUGGUAGAGAUACCUUGGUGCCUUCGGGAACGCAGUGACAGGUGCUGCAUGGCUGUCGUCAGCUCGUGCCG
RNAcentral lists this ribosomal RNA (293 nucleotides) under uncultured bacterium. RNAcentral's name for it is "partial 16S ribosomal RNA". It matches the Rfam family "Bacterial small subunit ribosomal RNA", at positions 775 to 1067 of the family's 1533-position model. The record is from RNAcentral.